CCGCCCGCCAGUCGGGCAGCUCCGGCGCCGCGCGCUCCGCCGCCUCGGGGAGGUCUCGCCUGCGCCGCGGGGGGCGAGCAGGAGCCGGGAGGGGGAGACGAGACUUCAUUGGCACAGGCUCCCAGAGAAGCCAGGCCUCUGCAUUCCUGGAAGCUGCCCAAAGCAGGUCAGACAGGCAGUUGGCGGGGAUGGAUCCAGCAGGACCUGAGCAGGGCCUGGACCAGGCAGCUGCAUGAGGUCCCUUCCAGUCUUACGUCCCUGCUGGUCGAGCAGGCUCUGCGCUUUGGGAGAUUUCAGCAGUCUUGAUGCUACUGUCAGCAAAUGAUGUCAGGAUCACGGUUGUUAAAGUUUUGAUUGCUCUUGUUUGCCUUAUUGUCAUGUUCCCUUUGUCAAAUCAAGGUUCAGCUGCUUGACUUUAUCCCUGAGCACUGUGGUAACGUUGCCUUUCUGUGUUGCAUGUUAAAAUCUUGCAUGUUUCUAAGUGUUGUAAAUUAAAUCAUGGGUAAAUCAGAUGGUACAAUAACUUUCAAAAGGGCUUGCUCACCCUGCAUAGUAUGUUAGGUAAUUAUGGAAAUCACCGUACCUGUGUAGCCAGGCUUGGCAGAAUUCAAUUUUAUUAUUAUUAUUUGGAUGGCUAAAAUCCAUGUUUAUUUUUAAGCUUUUUUUCUGAUUUUUUUUAUUGAUUUGAAACUUUCAGGAUUGCGCCAAAUUAGGGGUGUGUUUUGGAUCAGCUCUCCACAGGUGUUUGGCCCUUGUGUGAUCUGAGCAAGGGCCAAACUCCUCCGGAGCCUGGCCUGACCCCUGGGUGAUCAGGGCAGGGGCCAAACUCCCACAGAGGCCAGGCUGGAACAGGCUCUUGGGACUUUGCUUUUCCUCAGCUGGGCACAGUUAGGGGCUGUUGGUACUGGGCUCCUUACUGCUACCAGCCCUGCCCCUGCAGCCCUGCCACCUUUGACACAGUCUUAACGGCACAGUGGCUGGUGUGUAUGUGCAUGUGUAAAGUGCCCCCUGCCCCCCAUUUCUAUACCUCCAUGCCAGAAUUUAUUUAUUUUUUUAUAAUUACCGAUGGAAAUAUUUUUCCAUCUAUCAGUGUCAGGUGAAAUGGAUGUCUAUCAAUAAAAAUCAAAUCCUGUCAAA
Long non-coding RNA from Alligator sinensis (Chinese alligator), 1137 nucleotides. RefSeq lists it as uncharacterized. The record is from RefSeq and is a predicted model, not a curated record. The transcript has 2 exons. Lineage: Eukaryota; Metazoa; Chordata; Crocodylia; Alligatoridae.